RNAcentral lists this ribosomal RNA (497 nucleotides) under uncultured bacterium. Its description in RNAcentral is "partial 16S ribosomal RNA". It matches the Rfam family "Bacterial small subunit ribosomal RNA", at positions 28 to 507 of the family's 1533-position model. The record is from RNAcentral.
GAUGAACGCUGGCGGCGUGCCUAAUACAUGCAAGUCGAGCGAACAGACGAGGAGCUUGCUCCUCUGACGUUAGCGGCGGACGGGCGAGUAACACGUGGAUAACCUACCUAUAAGACUGGGAUAACUUCGGGAAACCGGAGCUAAUACCGGAUAAUAUAUUGAACCGCAUGGUUCAAUAGUGAAAGACGGUUUUGCUGUCACUUAUAGAUGGAUCCGCGCCGCAUUAGCUAGUUGGUAAGGUAACGGCUUACCAAGGCAACGAUGCGUAGCCGACCUGAGAGGGUGAUCGGCCACACUGGAACUGAGACACGGUCCGGACUCCUAAGGGAGGCAGCAGUAGGGAAUUUUGCGCAAUGGGAGAAAGCCUGAGGGAGCAACGCCGCGUGAGUGAUGAAGGUCUUCGGAUGGUAAAACGCUGUUAUUGGGGAAGAACAAAUGUGUAAGUAACUAUGCACGUAUUGACGGUACCUAAUCAGAAAGCAACGGCUAACUACGUG